GCAGGUGUGGCGGAAUUUGGUAGACGCGUAGGAUUUAGGUUCCUGUGUCAUAAUGAUGUGAGAGUUCGAGUCUCUCCACCUGUA
Molecule: transfer RNA, 84 nt
Filed under: Euglena agilis
Lineage: Eukaryota; Euglenozoa; Euglenophyceae; Euglenales; Euglenaceae
Description: tRNA-Leu
Rfam family: tRNA
About the family: Transfer RNA (tRNA) molecules are approximately 80 nucleotides in length. Their secondary structure includes four short double-helical elements and three loops (D, anti-codon, and T loops). Further hydrogen bonds mediate the characteristic L-shaped molecular structure. tRNAs have two regions of fundamental functional importance: the anti-codon, which is responsible for specific mRNA codon recognition, and the 3' end, to which the tRNAs corresponding amino acid is attached (by aminoacyl-tRNA synthetases). tRNAs cope with the degeneracy of the genetic code in two manners: having more than one tRNA (with a specific anti-codon) for a particular amino acid; and 'wobble' base-pairing, i.e. permitting non-standard base-pairing at the 3rd anti-codon position.
Source: RNAcentral